GAUGAACGCUGGCGGUGUGCCUAAUACAUGCAAGUCGAGCGAACAGACGAGGAGCUUACUCCUCUGACGUUAGCGGCGGACGGGUGAGUAACACGUGGAUAACCUACCUAUAAGACUGGGAUAACUUCGGGAAACCGGAGCUAAUACCGGAUAACAUGUUGAACCGCAUGGUUCAACAGUGAAAGACGGUCUUGCUGUCACUUAUAGAUGGAUCCGCGUCGCAUUAGCUAGUUGGUAAGGUAACGGCUUACCAAGGCAACGAUGCGUAGCCGACCUGAGAGGGUGAUAGGCCACACUGGAACUGAGACACGGUCCAGACUCCUACGGGAGGCAGCAGUAGGGAAUCUUCCGCAAUGGGCGAAAGCCUGACGGAGCAACGCCGCGUGAGUGAAGAAGGUCUUCGGAUCGUAAAACUCUGUUAUUAGGGAAGAACAAAUGUGUAAGUAACUAUGCACGUCUUGACGGUACCUAAUCAGAAAGCCACGGCUAACUACGUG
RNAcentral lists this ribosomal RNA (497 nucleotides) under uncultured bacterium. RNAcentral describes it as "partial 16S ribosomal RNA". It matches the Rfam family "Bacterial small subunit ribosomal RNA", at positions 28 to 507 of the family's 1533-position model. The record is from RNAcentral.